RNAcentral lists this ribosomal RNA (396 nucleotides) under uncultured bacterium. Its description in RNAcentral is "partial 16S ribosomal RNA". It matches the Rfam family "Bacterial small subunit ribosomal RNA", at positions 338 to 732 of the family's 1533-position model. The record is from RNAcentral.
CCUACGGGGGGCAGCAGUGAGGAAUAUUGGUCAAUGGGCGCGAGCCUGAACCAGCCAAGUCGCGUGAGGGAAGACGGUCCUAUGGAUUGUAAACUUCUUUUGUAGGGGAGCAAAACACGCCAAGCAUGGCGUCUCGUGAGUACCCUAAGAAAAAACAUCGGCUAACUCCGUGCCAGCAGCCGCGGUACUACGGAGGAUGCGAGCGUUGUCCGGAUUUAUUGGGUUAAAAGGGAGCGCAGGGGGAAGAUAAAGUCAGCGGUAAAAUUGAGAGGCUCAACCUCAUCGAGCCGUUGAAACUGGUAGUCUUGAGUGAGUGAGAGGUAUGCGGAAUGCGUGGUGUAGCGGUGAAAUGCAUAGAUAUCACGAAGAACUCCGAUUGCGAAGGCAGCAUACCGG